GAGUUAAUUCUGAUAAAAGAUCUCGGAAGAAGAAAAAGGAACAUGGAAAAGUUCCCACACUUUGAUUGUUUUGUUUCUUUCUCUUUCUCUGUCCUUUCUUUUUUCAUUCCUGCCAAAAAAAUAAAGCAGUGUGCCAGCCAUGAAUGGGAAUAAUUGAUGGGGAAGGGAAAAUAAUAGACUUCAGAAAAACCAACAUUGACUCGUGUAACUCACCUGUUGGUGAGAGUUUUUGUUUGGUGUUUCAUUCAGACAGCGGGCGGCUCGGGGGCCCCUCCCUGAGGCAGCGCUGGUUCCCAGGUACAGCGAGGAGCGAUGGGAGGAGAGUUCCCACCACACUCUCUAACCGUUCUCACCGUAGCUCAUUGGUCGGAUGUUGCGUCACCGCUGAAAUUCGAGACUCUCGCAGCGGUGCAGGGCAGGUGUAUGAGGCUGCAGCGCCAAAGGAGCUGAGGGAGUGAGCGCCGAUGGUCAAGAAUGGGCGAGGCCUUCUUGUUGGCGACACAAAGCCGUUGCUGUGCAAUCAGCUUGGU
Long non-coding RNA from Gasterosteus aculeatus aculeatus (three-spined stickleback), 530 nucleotides. The record is from Ensembl. NCBI's taxonomy places the organism in Eukaryota, Metazoa, Chordata, Actinopteri, Perciformes, Gasterosteidae.